RNAcentral lists this ribosomal RNA (468 nucleotides) under uncultured bacterium. Its description in RNAcentral is "partial 16S ribosomal RNA". It matches the Rfam family "Bacterial small subunit ribosomal RNA", at positions 28 to 507 of the family's 1533-position model. The record is from RNAcentral.
GACGAACGCUGGCGGCGUGCUUAACACAUGCAAGUCGAACGGACGGACCCUGCUCUUGUGGCGUUCUCGUUUGGCGCACGGGUGAGUAACACGUGAGUAUCCUCCCCUUAUCAUUGUGAUAACUUCUGGGAACUCGGGCUCCAACCGGAUAGGAUCUCCUGAUCCAUGGUGGUGGUUGGAAAGAUUCGGCGGUUGGGGCUGGACUCGAGGGUUAUCAGCUUGAUGGGGGGGUAGUGGCUGACGAAGGCUUUGACGGGUAGCCUGCCUGAGAGGGUUGACGGGGACCAUGGGCCUAAGAGAGGGAGCAGACGGGUACGGUAGGCAGCGGUCGGGAAUAUGGCACAGUGGGGGGAAGCCUGAGGCAGCAAUGCCGCGUGCGGGAUGAUGGCCUUCGGGUUGUAAACAGCUUUCGCCGGAGAUGAAGCGUGAGUGACGGUAAUGGGUAAAGAAGCACCGGCUAACUACGUG